This 493-nucleotide ribosomal RNA is filed under the name uncultured bacterium. RNAcentral describes it as "partial 16S ribosomal RNA". It matches the Rfam family "Bacterial small subunit ribosomal RNA", at positions 29 to 523 of the family's 1533-position model. The record is from RNAcentral.
AUUGAACGCUGGCGGCAUGCUUUACACAUGCAAGUCGAACGGUAACAGGUUAAGCUGACGAGUGGCGAACGGGUGAGUAAUGCAUCGGAACGUGCCCGGUCGUGGGGGAUAACGCAGCGAAAGCUGCGCUAAUACCGCAUACGAUCUGAGGAUGAAAGCGGGGGACCGUAAGGCCUCGCGCGAUCGGAGCGGCCGAUGUCAGAUUAGGUAGUUGGUGGGGUAAAGGCUCACCAAGCCGACGAUCUGUAGCUGGUCUGAGAGGACGACCAGCCACACUGGGACUGAGACACGGCCCAGACUCUUACGGGAGGCAGCAGUGGGGAAUUUUGGACAAUGGGCGAAAGCCUGAUCCAGCAAUGCCGCGUGCAGGAAGAAGGCCUUCGGGUUGUAAACUGCUUUUGUACGGAGCGAAAAGGUCUCCUCUAAUACAGGGGGCUCAUGACGGUACCGUAAGAAUAAGCACCGGCUAACUACGUGCCAGCAGCCGCGGUAA